CUUUAACAUGCAGUCGACGGCAGCGCGAGAGAGCUUGCUCUCUUGGCGGCGAGUGGCGGACGGGUGAGUAAUAUAUCGGAACGUGCCCAGUAGCGGGGGAUAACUACUCGAAAGAGUGGCUAAUACCGCAUACGCCCUACGGGGGAAAGGGGGGGAUCGCAAGACCUCUCACUAUUGGAGCGGCCGAUAUCGGAUUAGCUAGUUGGUGGGGUAAAGGCUCACCAAGGCAACGAUCCGUAGCUGGUUUGAGAGGACGACCAGCCACACUGGGACUGAGACACGGCCCAGACUCCUACGGGAGGCAGCAGUGGGGAAUUUUGGACAAUGGGGGAAACCCUGAUCCAGCCAUCCCGCGUGUAUGAUGAAGGCCUUCGGGUUGUAAAGUACUUUUGGCAGAGAAGAAAAGGUAUCUCCUAAUACGAGAUACUGCUGACGGUAUCUGCAGAAUAAGCACCGGCUAACUACGUGCCAGCAGCCGCGGUAAUACGUAGGGUGCAAGCGUUAAUCGGAAUUACUGGGCGUAAAGCGUGUGUAGGCGGUUCGGAAAGAAAGAUGUGAAAUCCCAGGGCUCAACCUUGGAACUGCAUUUUUAACUGCCGAGCUAGAGUAUGUCAGAGGGGGGUAGAAUUCCACGUGUAGCAGUGAAAUGCGUAGAUAUGU
This 660-nucleotide ribosomal RNA is filed under the name Alcaligenes faecalis. Its description in RNAcentral is "bacterial SSU rRNA". It matches the Rfam family "Bacterial small subunit ribosomal RNA", at positions 48 to 699 of the family's 1533-position model. The record is from RNAcentral. Lineage: Bacteria; Pseudomonadati; Pseudomonadota; Betaproteobacteria; Burkholderiales; Alcaligenaceae.